UACGGAGAGUGCAAGCGUUGUUCGGAAUUAUUGGGCGUAAAGCGCGUGUAGGCGGUCCAGCAAGUCCGGUGUGAAAGCCCAGAGCUCAACUCUGGAAGUGCAUCGGAAACUGCUGGACUAGAGUACCGGAGGGGAAGGUGGAAUUCUCGAGUGUAGAGGUGAAAUUCGUAGAUAUUCGGAAGAACAUCAGUGGCGAAGGCGGCCUUCUGGACGGAUACUGACGCUGAGACGCGAAAGCGUGGGGAGCAAACAGG
RNAcentral lists this ribosomal RNA (254 nucleotides) under uncultured bacterium. Its description in RNAcentral is "partial 16S ribosomal RNA". It matches the Rfam family "Bacterial small subunit ribosomal RNA", at positions 524 to 776 of the family's 1533-position model. The record is from RNAcentral.